CGGCGGACGGGUGAGUAACACGUGGGUAACCUACCUAUAAGACUGGGACAACUUCGGGAAACCGGAGCUAAUACCGGAUAAGAUAUCGAACCGCAUGGUUCGAUAGUGAAAGAUGGUUUUGCUAUCACUUAUAGAUGGACCCGCGCCGUAUUAGCUAGUUGGUGAGGUAACGGCUCACCAAGGCAACGAUACGUAGCCGACCCGAGAGGGUGAUCGGCCACACUGGAACUGAGACACGGUCCAGACUCCUACGGGAGGCAGCAGGA
RNAcentral lists this ribosomal RNA (266 nucleotides) under uncultured Staphylococcus sp. Its description in RNAcentral is "partial 16S ribosomal RNA". It matches the Rfam family "Bacterial small subunit ribosomal RNA", at positions 96 to 354 of the family's 1533-position model. Lineage: Bacteria; Bacillati; Bacillota; Bacilli; Caryophanales; Staphylococcaceae. The record is from RNAcentral.